AGUCGAACGCUGAAGCACUCUGCUUGCAGAGUGUGGAUGAGUGGCGAACGGGUGAGUAACACGUGGAGAACCUGCCCAUAAGAGGGGGAUAACAUCCGGAAACGGGUGCUAAUACCGCAUAGGUAUCCGACACGCAUGUGUCGGSUAUGAAAGACGGCUUCGGCUGUCGCUUAUGGAUGGCUCCGCGGCGUAUUAGCUAGUUGGUGAGGUAAUGGCUCACCAAGGCAGUGAUACGUAGCCGACCUGAGAGGGUGAUCGGCCACACUGGGACUGAGACACGGCCCAGACUCCUACGGGAGGCAGCAGUAGGGAAUCUUCCACAAUGGGCGCAAGCCUGAUGGAGCAAUGCCGCGUGAAUGAAGAAGGUCUUCGGAUCGUAAAGUUCUGUUAUCGGAGAAGAACACGUCGAGUAGUAACUGGCUCGACCUUGACGGUAUCCGACCAGAAAGUCACGGCUAACUACGUGCCAGCAGCCGCGGUAAUACGUAGGUGACAAGCGUUGUCCGGAUUUAUUGGGCGUAAAGCGAGCGCAGGCGGUCUUUUAAGUCUGAUGUGAAAGCCCACGGCUCAACCGUGGAUGGUCAUUGGAAACUGGAGGACUUGAAUGCAGAAGAGGUAAGUGGAAUUCCAUGUGUAGCGGUGAAAUGCGUAGAUAUAUGGAGGAACACCAGUGGCGAAGGCGACUUACUGGUCUGUUAUUGACGCUGAGGCUCGAAAGCGUGGGGAGCGAACAGGAUUAGAUACCCUGGUAGUCCACGCCGUAAACGAUGAGUGCUAAGUGUUGGAGGGUUUCCGCCCUUCAGUGCUGGAGCUAACGCAUUAAGCACUCCGCCUGGGGAGUACGGCCGCAAGGCUGAAACUCAA
This 864-nucleotide ribosomal RNA is filed under the name Alkalibacterium sp. RNAcentral describes it as "bacterial SSU rRNA". The record is from RNAcentral. Lineage: Bacteria; Bacillati; Bacillota; Bacilli; Lactobacillales; Carnobacteriaceae.